Molecule: long non-coding RNA, 1220 nt
Organism: Ornithodoros turicata
Lineage: Eukaryota; Metazoa; Arthropoda; Arachnida; Ixodida; Argasidae
Exons: 2
Source: RefSeq, a predicted model, not a curated record
CCUGGGCUUGUUCUGACAUGCUUUCCUUCUGCCUGUAGUUUUUUUCCUUUUGUACAAGGCAUAUUCUUGACGAUAGUGCUGCCUUGAAUGGGAGUAGAGCAAUUCUUAAUAAUUUUGCGAUUCAUUUAGUUCAGAGAGUAACCGCGAGGGGGACAGGUGUGUGACUUUAUGUCUUGCUGAACCAUUUUUUUUUUCCCUGUACAGUAAGACUUUGGGAAUGAAAUGCUACAAUCUCCUCUUGUCUAUGGUGUUUUUCUGCAAUAGUUCCCUACGCAAUCAUUAUAGUAGAAUAAAGGAAAUAAUCUAGGGAUAGUGAUUCAAUAAAUAACAGGUGCCCUGUCUAGAGCGUACGCGUCCUUGAGCCACGCACCUGCAUGAUGACCGCAUACCGAGAGACUAUUGUUUCAGGUUGACCUUGUCUAGAGGAGCAUUAGUGGAAAAAAACUGUGUAGCCCUGAGACAAUAGGAUGAUGUCUGGACCAAUGAGACUGGCCUGCAGGGGACGCAAGGAUUCACUUCUCUCUUGGACACUGGCGGAUGUAGACACGCCUCUCGCAGGUGGCGGUAGGAGCGCGCAGAGGGCGCUACGAGCGCGCGCAUGCGUAGCACCCGUAGAGUGGCGUUUACGUCAGUCCACCUCUGGCUCUCGUUGGGAGAAGACGUGCGGUCGUUCGCUCCGUCGUCACUUGAUCCCUGGCUGUCGACGAGAGCGGACGCUCCGUCGCAGCGGGGAAAAAGGUGAGUGAUUUACCGAUGUUUGCGCGUUGUUUUACCGUGCUCGUGUUAAGCCUUUUCUCGCAUGUUUAGACUUGUUUAGCGGUGUCCAAGCCUGUUGACGCACGUUUACCAUCGUGUGGUUCCCGCCUUGUGUUAGCCGCGAAGUGUUGUGACGCUGUGGUUAGGCCUUGUCGAUUGCCUUAAGCCUUUCCCCCCGAUGUGUAGUGUUUUCUCCGUGCUGUUUAGCAGUAGCGGUUAGGCCUUUUCCCCGCGCUCUGGCAUGGUUAGACUUGUCGAGCAGUGUUGCCAUUUUUACGUGUCGCUAGUACUUUCUUGUUCUCUGUGUUUCUCGUAUAGAGCUACGAUGCUGGCGCCAUCUGGUGUGAUGCCUUGGAACUAGCGUGCCACCUGCCUCUGCAACCGUCGUGCUCCAGUCGCCCGCACCGGCGUGAUUUCUUCAAGAUGGCGUCGUUGAUUUUCAAAUAAAUCAUUUCCCACUGUCU